Molecule: long non-coding RNA, 4400 nt
Filed under: Nicotiana tabacum (common tobacco)
Lineage: Eukaryota; Viridiplantae; Streptophyta; Magnoliopsida; Solanales; Solanaceae
Description: long non-coding RNA (NTAB_LNC000435)
Source: RNAcentral
UUUUUAAAAAUUUUCUGGGUAGAUUCUACUAAGUUUCCCUCUCAAUAGAAAUGCUAAUUUAAAGGGAAGAACUUUGUUGCACUUAAGGUGUUCGACGAUAUGAUUAAAAAAACUGAGUAAUAUUCUACCAUUUCUUUUCCCAUAGGUGAAUUUAUCACAAGUAUCUAUCCUUUUGUAAGGCCAGAAAUUUUGAUUGCACAAAUAUAGGUCAUUUGAAAGAUGUUUCGGUAACUGUAGGUAUGGUAGUGAAAUAUUUAGCAUAUCCUUUACUGGGAUGUGUUGGAAAAUUCAUUUGUAUCUAAAAAGAUGAAGCCUUUUCAUGAAAGAAAAUGAAUAUGGAUAAUUCUCUAAUGGUGCCCUGCAUUUUGACUGUGCUGCAAUUAGUAAUAUUAAUUUGUCAGGAAUUCAUCAUUAGCAGAAAGCUCUCAUUUUAGUUGUUUAUCUGGAGUAUCUAUUUAUAUGAUAAGGUAUACACGAUUAAUUACAUUAAUUUUCUCUUCUUUUCAUUUGAUAUCUAGGUCAAUAUAAAUGUGUAUACACACAAACCUUCUUAUAUAUUUGUCACCCUAACGGUGUUUAAAUGCAGUACUUGUCAUAACUUUGAACUCCUUGUUUGCCUUUAUUUUAUUGUAUAAAUGAAAUAUGUUUUUUUGUACUGGUUUUUCUUCAUGAAAUGUGGCUUCUAAAACUAGGUUGUUUUAGUAUAUUAUAACGCAAGGUGGACUCAUUGACUCCCCAGUAGUUUAUGCAGCACCAAGGUAAUAUUAUGUUUUGGUGUCAUUCAGAUGCAUGGUCUGUUUGAUAGUGAACUGCGGACAGCUCAUAUUAAGAGGUAAGAGAAAGAAGUUUUUGCUUCCUUAAUAAACUAUAAGAGUUCUUCCGGUUACUUUAAUUUUGAUAUUAAUGGUCAUAAUAUUGUAUUUACUGCGAUUUCGAUAUCUAUAGUAUAUAAAAGGAGUGGAUGGUUCCUACUGGUUUCUGAAACAUUGGUGUAUAUUCAUGAGAAAAUGGCUGCAAGAAAACAUAAACGUAGCUUGAGAGAACUUUGUUAUAAAAAAAGCUUUUUGGAUGUUUGAGUAAUAAAGUGAUCUUUUCUUUUCCAUUUUCAAUGUAAUUGUUUCUUCUAGGAUAAUUAUGUAUUACAUAUACUUCUGAUAUUGAGUAUUUUAAGUUUUCAUAUUAAAGAGUUAUGUACAUAAAGAAUCUCCUUUAUUGUCGACAAGUUUGACUGACUGUUAGCUUUCCAAAAGCAAAGGUGAUUAGGUUGCAGGGUACAUGAAUGUAUUAGUCUAUGGUUAGAUAUUUAUCCUUUUUAAGGUUCUCAAAAAUGAAAGACUGCCGUAAAUCCUUUACAAAGUCCAGGUAAAUGCUUCAUCCCAGUGAAAAAGCACAUGAAGAAACUGAAGUCUCAAUUUGACUUGUCAGGCAGUUUGAAAUUAUCGAAAUAUUAUUUUCUGCAGGAAUGAACUAUUAAUAUUGUAGAUGAAUUUUUGUUAUGCUCGCAAACUUUUCAUGAUCAUGAUUGUGCCAUUUUUAAAACAUAGAGAAAAUGAAUACUGGUAAAGCUGAAACUGAAAAUUACCUGGGUAAUUCUGCUAUUACUUACACUUUGUGAUUUAGUUUUGACAUUCUUAUCAAUAAGAAUCUCUUUGUGCCUCAUUAGUCUCUGGCCUUGCCAUUAGUUGGAGCAAUCCUCUCCAUAACGUAUUAUAUUUGCAGUUGCAAGUAAUAAUAUGUUUGAACUGUAGCCUGCCAGGAUAUUAGACACUUCAAUUUAUCUAAGUUAUUCUUUACCGAAUGUAGGUAUAGCGUUUAUGUGCUAGCUUCUAUCUCCUAACUCCUCAUUGGAGGACCUUAAAUAGCCUUAAGAGGUGAGUAUAUAACAAAAGCAGACAGACAAUGGAGAAUUAUUUUGGGAUAAAAUCUCCAUGUAAUGUAGUUUCAUUCUGUUUUACUCAUAUCUUUCCCCGGUAAUAUUUGUCUUCUGUAGUAAUAUUCGCCUUGUGUAGUAAGUAAUUUGCUCUUUCUAAUAUGAUUCAAUUAAAAUGCUCACUUACAAAUAUUCCUUCUAAUAGCCAUAGGAUAUAUCUAUAUAGAUACUUACAACUCUAUGCAAAAGGCUGCUCUGUUGUUUCCAAAGUAGUAGUGCUUAACAUAUUUUUUCUAAAAAGCAAAUUUUUGACCAGUGAUCUCUGGUAUCGGUGGUUCAUGCUAUAGUAUUAAGAUGUUAUCGGAUGCAAGAUAUCAAGCUCCUUAUACAUGGUAAGUAAAAGGUAGAAAUGCCAUGGGUUUACUUUAUGCUUCUUUGGGUGGUCAAUACAUUUAUGUAAUUAACAUAACCACGAAAAUAUUGUGGUAAAUUAGAGUUUGGUAGCAAGUAAUUGAUUGAAUUUUGCCAUGAAAUAGUGUUGAAAAAUUACUCUUUUAUAGUUAGAGAAUCCUGGAUGAUGCAAAUAAUCUCAGUACGGAGGUGCAAAAGUAUGUGUUUAUUGCCAAGGAAUAGAAUCUUGAAUGAGGAUGGAGGUUAAAGAAAGCUUGGUUUGUUUGUUUCUCCCUUCGUCUCUCUGAUUUUGCUGAUUGAUAAGUCGGUGUGAGAUUUGUCAGCGUCUUCUUCAUAUAUAAUUCCAUUAUUUUUUGGUUUUAUCUCCUCAUCUUAUUCUUAUUAAUUAUUUUCUGACUAAUUAGAUUUCGUUGCUUUCAUCUUCAUUGCUUGAUUUGGGUAAAACUGUAUUGGGUUUUGAUUAUUUUGUGAAUGGUUAAUUUUUUUUUUCAAUGUUAAUGAUUUAACGUGGAGAUUUAAAACAGAUAUGUUGCAUUGUUACAGGGAAAAAUUUUAUGAAAUGGAGGGAGAGUUUGUAAUCUCAUGGAGAUGACAAUCCUUUCUCCUUUUACUGUUGUGUUAAUUAUGCUUAUACCUUUGCUAUAGAUUUCUGCUCAAUUAAAAAAAAAGAGGUAUAUUAAUUGUACUUUAAUUGGUUUUGCAGCAAAACCUUAAUUGUCAUCUUUCACAAGGAUUUUUUCUCUUUCAAAUUUUCGAGAUAUUUAUAUUAGGUAUGCCCCUUUGCUGUAUCUGGUAUUGCAGGAAUAUGCUGAACACAUUUUCCUCGGUGGAAGUAAUACUUCCUAAGUUUUUUACUAUGAUUGCAAUUUUAUAUAUAGAAACUCCACCAAAUGCGUCUCCAACAUGAAAAAGUUUGAUCAUUCUUCAUAUGCAAAGUUUUCAUGUACAGAGCCAUUUUCCUCUUUCUGUUACUCAUUCUUAGUACUUUUUGUUGUUGUCAGCUUUAGUGCACGCACACAAUAUGAUUUGUAUGAUGAAAACAAAUUAUUUGUAACAUGAAGUUCAUUAGAAAAGAUUGUUGGUUCUGUAGGCACACUGUACAAGCGCCGCGAUUUGAGAGACAACAUGAGAGUCCAAAAAUAUGGCUACAGUUUCCACUUACCAGUAGAGCUACAACUGCUGUUGUAAGAAAUUAUCCUUUCUUUCCAACUCGUGGCUUUUCCUCAAAAGUUUGAAAAUUAUUUUCUUACUUUUUUGCUGGGAUAAUCUUAUAUGGUAAUUAUAACUCUAGCUUAGAUUGCACGGAUACUGUAUUCAGUGGAAGAAAAAAGCAAUAUGGAAUGCUAAGUUCAUGUUCUUUGUUUUACCAUUUCUCGAUCUUUUUGUAAAAUCUAGAAGUAUGAUAUUGCAGGAACUAACUAUUGUAUUUUUGAGGAACUAUUCUAUUUAUGCUACCUGCCCCAAUCAACAUUGAAAUAUAAGAGAAAGAGAGAACUAAUUGAAAAUCCAUUCCAGGAGUUCUUAGAACUAGAAAGAAAGACGCAGUGAUAUUACUUUCUGUACUUUAUCUAAAGCCUGGAAGGACAUGAAAUAUUUAACACAAGGCAAUAUCCAUUUUGGUACUUGAAUGGCACGGCAGUCUAUGAUCGCAUAUAGCUGCAAUAUCUGUUUCUGAACUUGAUAUUACAGUUUUAUCUUGUUAGCUACUUCGGAAUAUUAUGCAGAUGUCACAUAAUAAGCUCAUAUCAAUACAGGUGCAUCCUUAUGCCAGAGUUGAAAUAUGGAUCUUCGAAUGCAUUUAGCUAGAAACGAGUUCUUUGGCGUUCAAGUUGGAUAAACUGUUCAUGACUUUGCUAUUAUCUCAGUGUCAAGGUACAUAUCUUUUAUGCAUUACCAUUCCCGUUCAUUCAAAUUUUCCAUAUCUAUUGGUGCAUUUAACCUUAAUCUUUUGGUUAACAGAGCACAUCCUGAAAAUAUUCGAUGUAGUACUAUAGAAGGAAGCUGGUUCUUUUUUCCUAUCCCGCACUAGAGAGUAGAGAUGAUGUGAAGCAAUUGUUACUUUGCUUGAGGACAAAUAAUAUUGAUGUAAUUUGAAAAUGCAACAUUUAGAGAAUGCCUU